Molecule: ribosomal RNA, 401 nt
Filed under: uncultured bacterium
Lineage: Bacteria
Description: bacterial SSU rRNA
Rfam family: Bacterial small subunit ribosomal RNA
Source: RNAcentral
GGGCCCGCACAAGCGGUGGAGCAUGUGGUUUAAUUCGAUGAUACGCGAGGAACCUUACCAGGGUUUAAAUGCAGAACGACAGGGGUGGAAACACCCCCUUCUUCGGACGGACUGCAAGGUGCUGCAUGGUUGUCGUCAGCUCGUGCUGUGAAGUGUCGGGUUAAGUCCCAUAACGAGCGCAACCCCCAUUUCUAGUUGCCAGCGGUUCGGCCGGGGACUCUAGAGAAACUGCCAGCGUAAGCUGUGAGGAAGGUGGGGAUGACGUCAAAUCAUCACGGCCCUUACAUCCUGGGCCACACACGUGCUACAAUGGUAGGGACAACAGGUUGCCAACCCGCGAGGGUGAGCCAAUCCCAAAACCCUAUCUCAGUUCGGAUCGGAGUCUGCAACUCGACUCCGUG